GGGGAGGUGGCAGAGUGGUCGAAUGCGGCGGUCUUGAAAACCGUUGACCGUUAACGCGGUCCCAGGGUUCGAAUCCCUGUCUCCCCG
Molecule: transfer RNA, 87 nt
Filed under: Tritonibacter multivorans
Lineage: Bacteria; Pseudomonadati; Pseudomonadota; Alphaproteobacteria; Rhodobacterales; Paracoccaceae
Description: Tropicibacter sp. CECT 7557 tRNA
Rfam family: tRNA
About the family: Transfer RNA (tRNA) molecules are approximately 80 nucleotides in length. Their secondary structure includes four short double-helical elements and three loops (D, anti-codon, and T loops).
Source: Rfam by way of RNAcentral